AUGCGGUUGCAGUCUAGCACGGCAUACUUCACACCCCCAUCGUGCGCGGUUUCAUUUACUCCCCCACUUCUCUACUCACCCAACCCACCAUCCGCAGCAGUUCAUUCGAUUGGAGGAGAAGCCGAUAGGAGGAGGAGGCGGCGGAGGCGGAAGAGUCGACGGCAUUCGCGGCCGUCGGUGAGGCUCGCCGGACCAGAGAGUCUACGCCGGAGUGCCCGCAGCUUGAAGGUAAUGCUCCUCCCCGCGCUGACAUUCCUCCCUGCAUUUUCCCCUCUCCCCUCUGCGGUGGAUUUCUCCGCUCGAGAUUCAUAG
RNAcentral lists this ribosomal RNA (312 nucleotides) under Triticum aestivum (bread wheat). RNAcentral describes it as "partial small subunit ribosomal RNA". Lineage: Eukaryota; Viridiplantae; Streptophyta; Magnoliopsida; Poales; Poaceae. The record is from RNAcentral.